UCCCUGGAGGACUAGUGGUUAGGCCACAGCACUCUCGCUGCUGCAACCCAGGUUUGAUUCCUGGCCAGGGAA
RNAcentral lists this transfer RNA (72 nucleotides) under Pangasianodon hypophthalmus (striped catfish). It matches the Rfam family "tRNA". Rfam says of the family: Transfer RNA (tRNA) molecules are approximately 80 nucleotides in length. Their secondary structure includes four short double-helical elements and three loops (D, anti-codon, and T loops). Lineage: Eukaryota; Metazoa; Chordata; Actinopteri; Siluriformes; Pangasiidae. The record is from Rfam by way of RNAcentral.